CAGUCGUACCUUCGGGUAAUCAGCCUUUCGAGUGCGAUUCUGUGGAGUGUGAGGAGCUAAACACCUUCAUGCCUGCAUAUUCGUGCUCUUGGGUGUACUUGCUCGUGUGUAAGUUAACAUCAAUUUUGGUGGUCAUAAAAUGGCUGGAGGAAUAUAGCUUCGAUCUCGUAUUGAAGUGUUAUAGCCUUUGGUAGAUGUGAUGAUCAGGAUUGAGGAUUGCAACGGAUACCCUUCGGGGCUACUUGUCUGAUCUCUGAUUGUUGCUCUGGUGCUGAAAGCUUGCUUAUGGCUAUCAGAAUCGAUGGUCAAUAGGUUAGAAUGGGUUAAAUUCGUUAAGGAUGUU
This 343-nucleotide ribosomal RNA is filed under the name Rhizophagus intraradices. Lineage: Eukaryota; Fungi; Glomeromycota; Glomeromycetes; Glomerales; Glomeraceae. The record is from RNAcentral.